This 634-nucleotide unclassified non-coding RNA is filed under the name Nakaseomyces glabratus. Its description in RNAcentral is "[Candida] glabrata sequence contains 18S rRNA gene, ITS1, 5.8S rRNA gene, ITS2, 28S rRNA gene". The stretch from base 412 to 565 matches the Rfam family "5.8S ribosomal RNA". The record is from RNAcentral. Lineage: Eukaryota; Fungi; Ascomycota; Saccharomycetes; Saccharomycetales; Saccharomycetaceae.
GAUCAUUAAAGAAAUUUAAUUGAUUUGUCUGAGCUCGGAGAGAGACAUCUCUGGGGAGGACCAGUGUAGACACUCAGGAGGCUCCUAAAAUAUUUUCUCUGCUGUGAAUGCUAUUUCUCCUGCCUGCGCUUAAGUGCGCGGUUGGUGGGUGUUCUGCAGUGGGGGGAGGGAGCCGACAAAGACCUGGGAGUGUGCGUGGAUCUCUCUAUUCCAAAGGAGGUGUUUUAUCACACGACUCGACACUUUCUAAUUACUACACACAGUGGAGUUUACUUUACUACUAUUCUUUUGUUCGUUGGGGGAAAGCUCUCUUUCGGGGGGGAGUUCUCCCAGUGGAUGCAAACACAAACAAAUAUUUUUUUAAACUAAUUCAGUCAACACAAGAUUUCUUUUAGUAGAAAACAACUUCAAAACUUUCAACAAUGGAUCUCUUGGUUCUCGCAUCGAUGAAGAACGCAGCGAAAUGCGAUACGUAAUGUGAAUUGCAGAAUUCCGUGAAUCAUCGAAUCUUUGAACGCACAUUGCGCCCUCUGGUAUUCCGGGGGGCAUGCCUGUUUGAGCGUCAUUUCCUUCUCAAACACGUUGUGUUUGGUAGUGAGUGAUACUCUCGUUUUUGAGUUAACUUGAAAUUGUA